RNAcentral lists this long non-coding RNA (311 nucleotides) under Musa acuminata (dwarf banana). Its description in RNAcentral is "long non-coding RNA (MACU_LNC009548)". Lineage: Eukaryota; Viridiplantae; Streptophyta; Magnoliopsida; Zingiberales; Musaceae. The record is from RNAcentral.
CUUCCACAGCCAUCCAUCAACCCUCCACAACUGUCCAAAGCAAUUCCCACAAUUGCUUAAAAGAUCGUCGCCGAAUUCCGCCAUCAUCUCCACCACCGCGGAUCAUCCUUUGAUCUCCCCGUGAAUUGCAACAGGUUCUGGUUUUCUACCUUACUGCUGCUGUAAUUUAGUUAUCCUUAUUCGAAAAUCCAAAAAAAAAAAUUGUUCCUAUAUUGCUGCAUAAACUUUUCGUCACAAAGUUUUCAUCUCUACGACGAAAGAUACAUUGCAGAAUUCCAACCGCAUAGCACCAUCUAUUUGAUCUUGCUACU